Molecule: non-coding RNA, 82 nt
Filed under: Xenorhabdus cabanillasii
Lineage: Bacteria; Pseudomonadati; Pseudomonadota; Gammaproteobacteria; Enterobacterales; Morganellaceae
Source: RNAcentral
UUCUAUGGCGGUUCAGGCAGGGGAGGCUAUGCCUCGCUGGAGUAAGCGCCAGUCUGCAAACCCUGUCUGAAUCGCCACCAUC